GACGAACGCUGGCGGCGUGCUUAACACAUGCAAGUCGAACGGAAAGGCCCUGCUUUUGUGGGGUGCUCGAGUGGCGAACGGGUGAGUAACACGUGAGUAACCUGCCCUUGACUUUGGGAUAACUUCAGGAAACUGGGGCUAAUACCGGAUAGGAGCUCCUGCUGCAUGGUGGGGGUUGGAAAGUUUCGGCGGUUGGGGAUGGACUCGCGGCUUAUCAGCUUGUUGGUGGGGUAGGGGCUUACAAAGGCUUUGACGGGUAGCCGGCCUGGGAGGGUGACCGGCCACAUGGGGACUGAGAGACGGCCCAGACGCCUACGGGAGGCAGCAGUGGGGAAUAUUGCACAAUGGGCGGAAGCCUGAGGCAGCAACCCCGCGUGCGUGAUAAUGUCCUUCGGGUUGUAAACCGCUUUCGCCUGUGACGAAGCGUGAGUGACGGUAAUGGGUAAAGAAGCACCGGCUAACUACGUG
This 468-nucleotide ribosomal RNA is filed under the name uncultured bacterium. RNAcentral describes it as "partial 16S ribosomal RNA". It matches the Rfam family "Bacterial small subunit ribosomal RNA", at positions 28 to 507 of the family's 1533-position model. The record is from RNAcentral.